Molecule: ribosomal RNA, 491 nt
Filed under: uncultured bacterium
Lineage: Bacteria
Description: partial 16S ribosomal RNA
Rfam family: Bacterial small subunit ribosomal RNA
Source: RNAcentral
AUUGAACGCUGGCGGCAUGCUUUACACAUGCAAGUCGAACGGUAACAGGCCUUCGGGUGCUGACGAGUGGCGAACGGGUGAGUAAUGCAUCGGAACGUGCCCAGAGGUGGGGGAUAACGCAGCGAAAGCUGUGCUAAUACCGCAUGUGAUCUGAGGAUGAAAGCGGGGGACCAGGCAGCAAUGUUUGGCCUCGCGCCUUUGGAGCGGCCGAUGUCAGAUUAGGUAGUUGGUGGGGUAAAGGCCUACCAAGCCGACGAUCUGUAGCUGGUCUGAGAGGACGACCAGCCACCCUGGGCCUGAGACACGGCCCAGACUCCUACGGGAGGCAGCAGUGGGGAAUUUUGGACAAUGGGCGCAAGCCUGAUCCAGCAAUGCCGCGUGCGGGAAGAAGGCCUUCGGGUUGUAAACCGCUUUUGUACGGAACGAAAAGGCUCUGGCUAAUACCUGGGGCUGAUGACGGUACCGUAAGAAUAAGCACCGGCUAACUACGU